GCCUGCGCGCCCUCGCCUCCUGAGCCGCCCCUCUAGCAUGUGGUAAGGAUAGAAGCAGCCAAAGACAUUUGUGCAACAAGGUACUGCAUGGAAACAACCUAGCUCUGGCAAUGGCGGAGGCGGGGGAGAAGGCGAUGGUAGUUGUGCUUCGCGGCGACGUCGCCGGCUCCCUCCUCGCCAAGACCACGCAGGGCCACGCCGACGUCCUCCUCCUCGACUCGUAAGCCCCCUCUUCCUUGCUCGCUUUGUUCCUACGCCAAUCGAUCUGUUCCUUGUGUGCCUCCUCGGCCCAAAGGUGCGUGGUUCAGUCGCCCUGGUCCCCUGCCGGCACCCAAUCCUUAGGGAUCUGACCGGAUGUACUUAAUUCGGGGUAUAGAAAUGGGUGGAUUGCGGCGAGGGGUAGCACCAAGCUGGAGUUGCCAUUGAAGGUGCCGUACGACUUCAUCGUGAUGCUGAUGAAGGAUCUGUUAGGAGACCGGGGCAUCGACUACCUGCUAGAGGUGGGGCUCGCCAUCGACCUCCCCGCCAUUGGCACCUUUACUAUUCUGCUCACCAUCAAGGGAGCCUUCCGGGAAUUCAGAUGUAUUAGCAUAUGAAUCGAUUUAUUGUCACACCAUAAUCGCUAUACCGAAGCAAUGAUGGUGGAUUAGCAAUAUUUGGGGAUUUUUUUUUGUGUUCUUACACCGGUGUGAUAGAGGAGUUUAAACCUAACUGUCAUAAAAAAUCUAACCCGAUGUUUAAAUCCAUUUUUUGAAAUCUAUUCCACCACCAACAGUUAAGAGAAACUCUAUUCCACCGCCUGCAGUUAAGGAAAAAAAUCAAGUUUUCUAAACUCUAAAAGGCAUGGUUUCAGAAACGCCUUUCUAGAUGAUUUUGCAUAUUUAUUUUUUAGACCACGGUUUAUGAAAUUGAAGAACAACAAGUGUGGCUCAAAAGUAUAGAGGGAAAGAAAAUAUAUUAUAUGCGACAUUGUUGCAUGGCACCAUGUGUGCGACAUCCUAUAAUUGUCGACAUUGAUAUGCUCUCAAAUUGGAUGCCCUGUUCCUUUGUAUUUAUGAGCAGGAAAGAAUUAUAGGGAGUAACAGGCUCGCCAUCCAUGAGUGGUCAGCUCAUACUUUUGGUGUGUGUAUUGAUUUGUCUUGAGAAAGAACAUUGUUGUGUUAUCUUAGAAAUUCUUACUGGCACUGGGGUUGAAUGCUUACCAUCUUUUUUCUUCGAAAUUCAUUAUCUGAGCUGAUAACAAGGUGUUGUAAAUGUUUGCUGGCUAGCAAGAUGCAGUUUUCCUGUUUUUUUUGCUGCUCUUUCCGUUAUGAUUUCAGUUCAUUAUUUCUAUGUUCUAAAAUCUCUGGAUUUAAUUACCAUACUCGGACAGCUAUACUCAGACUGUUCCACUGUUGCUACUUAGGUUUUUUCUAGCUAGCCAGUGAUCUGCAGCUAAGCAAGUAUUACAACUAAAAAAAUGCUAGCCUACAUGUGUACUGAUAGGAAUACUCAUUGGGGGCAGGAUGAACAAGGCCUACAGUUUCUAAAAUAUGAUAAAUGCACAAUUCUAUUAGCAUUUGUUCCUGUAUACAUAACUUUCUGUUGUAUCCUACAUGUGAACCUAUUUGCUUUCAUCUCUCGUGACUUUAUUGGCUUGAAGCCAUUUGCUUUCAUCUCUUGGUCAUACAUAUGAGAUCUUUUCAUCUUCUCAAGCUUUUAAAUUCAUUUGAUCUUCAUCAAACUAAAAGAUGAAGUCAAUUUGCUUACUUUCAGCCUCCAGUUCUAAGUUUGUGCAAAAACUCUGAAUGAGGGGUAUCAAAUUAAAAAAUAGUGCUUACAUGCUAGACAAUUACUGUUUUAUUUUGCUUGAUGAUCUAUUAAUGAAAGUAAAAAGUACCCUCUCAUUCAUCGGUCCGCCGUCGGCCACGUCGCUCUGCGACCCCAUCUUCAUUCUGCACAAGCGCCCACCUCGUCCGCAGCACCACACAACAGCUCAGGCGAGGCACCCACCAUCCAUCGGCACAGAUGGGAUGAGGUGAGGAUUAGGGAGACAAUUUCAGAGUUCAGACUUUGUUUCAAUGUUUCAGACAUUCAGAGCUUACAUUGCCUCCAAGUUAGUUCUAUUUAGAUGUAACAUUUUUUGUAGGUAAUGCCCCUUUACUGUUCUUAUUGAUUAGCAUGUUGGUACUUGACCUAUUUGUGUGAUGAACACAAUCCAAUAGUAAUCUUGAAAUUUGAAACAUAGGCUUAGUGCAGUUCGUUUAGCCUAAAGAAUUAGGGGUGUAUUGUUUGAUUGCUUAUGCAUUAUGCAAUUUGGUUAUAGAAUUUGUGACACCUGAUCUGCAUCUCCAGCUCCUUCACACCCGUGCAACAGAUAAGGUAAUUAUUCUAUUUGUUUGGUUGGCAUGGAUGAAUUUUGUGAGUCGAUAGGCUUCAAAUUUGGGCUGGCUCCGCCACUACUUCUGGGACAGGACAUUUAGAGCUCUUAGCAGGUUGGCUCACACAGCUUUCAUAUAAAAAUCUUAGUGCUUAUCUGUUUUCCCCUUUAAUUCAUUUGACUUGCAAUUAGUCAACAAACAUUCUGCAACAACAUCUGAUCCUCCAAACAUCCAAAAGAUACUUAGUUACUUACCUUACUUUUUGGCAGAUGCACUUCAUUUUACCAUGCCCAAACAGACUCAGUUGAUCCUUGAUUUAUUAGUUCUUGGACGACUCAGUUGCCAAUACUCUCAUUUAAAAUUGAAUGUUGUGCUAGCAAGCUAAAAACUUCACCCCAAAUAGAAUGUUCAUUCUAUUUUUUGUCCUAAGUCAAUCCACCUUAAAUUAAGAAAAGCUUAUACAAGAAAAUACCAAUUAAAUAAUUAAUCAUAUUUAUAUCAGUAUAUCACCAUCUAAGCACCAUUAGAUUCAUCAUGAAAUAUAUUUUCAUAGUACAUCUAUCUGGUGUCAUAUGUGUUCAUAAUCUUUUCUAAAUACCAGCAAUCUGUAGUGAUUGAUGUAUUCUUGAACUGCUACAGGCUCUAUCAAAUACCUUAACAGUAGACGAGCCUUUCUAUCUGAAAUCACAAUUUUUUAUUGGAACCAGACAGGAAUGGAUGCAUCACUCUUGGCAAUAUCAGAAUGGCAUUAACGAGAGAAGCUGAUGAUACAAUGAAGGAAUCGCGAGUUUAAGAUGUUCUUGUUUCGGUACAUUUGGUUUGUAUCAUAUGACACCAUUUUGUUCAUGCAAAAAUUCCAAGAGUUAUGUGCAGAAGCAGUUAGUGUGCACCAGCUUGAAGCAUUGGAUAGAUGGGAGCAACAUGUGCGAUCUGCUUAUCAAUCAAUGCCAGUUCAUCUGGUGAUCAGAAUGUUGUCGCUAAAUGAUUAGGUGGGAAAGGGAGGAUUCCAAGCUGUACGUGCAGAGUGGUGACAACAAGUGGAGCUACAGAGAAAAGAUUGAGUUCACGAUCUACUUCGCAUAGGAGAUCUCUCAAGGCCUGCUAUUUGAGAUGGAGGACCAGAUCCCUUCGCUCGCUGACCUUAUUAAGUUCGGCAGCUUGCUGGAUUUCCAACAACAAUACAGGUGAUGUCGGCCAUUGAUGAGGGGGCAUGUUGAAGCAGCAGAAUGUCCGUGCUAAUAGAAUGCAGCAUGUCUUAAUUCGUCAUCUACUGAUAUCAGCAAGGCCUUGGAAUUGGGUGCACUUAUGGGAUAGCCUACAUGUCAUGGACCUUGGUAUUUUGGUAUGCUAGGAUCUUCAUCAGGAAUGGGUAGACUGAUGUUGGAAAGUGAAAGAUGUUGAUAUUAUUAAACUACUUGUGGUCUUGCUGAUCAUAAUACUUUUUUAUUGUAGCAAGCCCCGUUGGUCGGUGUCUGUGAUUUAUUGUUCCUAUGUACUAGGUGUUCCUAUGAUAUUUCUGAUUUUCUUUAAUAUGUGAAUUUGACAUUUCUGCAGGUUGAACACGGAUUAGGGAAACUUGGAUGGCAUGACAGCCAAUGAGGUCAUUGAGUUCUUCUGUGAGUUGAUUGUGAAUUGAUUGUUACACGCACAUGGGAUCUGUGAUUAAUCUAAUGUUCCUCAUGAUCUGCUUCUCUUUCUUUAUCAGGUUUGAAAGUCUUUAUGUGCACUUCUAGCACUUCUUUUUAAUUCAAGGCAUCUUCACAUCCAUGAUAUCUAGGUUUUCAUAAUCAAUUUUGUGGAUCUUAGCAUCCCUGAAUAUCUUUCUGAACUUUUGAUUGGAGUUUUCGAUUUUCCUGGGAUCUAAUAGCUUCAUUUUUAUUGAAAUAUCAUGUCAAUCCUUCCAUUUUUUAGUUUACAUCGAAUGGUGUUUAUGCAGGCUUUUGAUGGUGUGGAUGGAAAAUAAGCAAGGCGUACCAACUCAUCAAGUCCUCUAGGCGAGCCUUUUGACCACGGAUGUGAUGCGCUUGCAUGUGGUGUAAGACCACAUGUCAAUAUUUUUUAUUUCAAGAUCAAUGAUUUUCAAGUCGUUGCUAGCAGAUCGCAAAGAAAUUUGGGUCAGUUAGCCAUCUGAAUUCAUUGCUCCGGUGCGCCUAUGAUAGAAUUUAGGGGGAACAAACAAAUGCGACCGGAAACUGACCUUGCGUUAUUUCUUCCCAGGAUGUACGGUUUCAAACAAAGGAGAUAUUUUGCAUGUGGUUUCAUCUUUGCGUUGCAAGCUACUCUACAUAUCUUCCUAGGAUGCCAAUACCUGUAAAUGUGCAACAAAUAAAUGUGACCGUACUUAUUUACCUCAGUGCGUUAUUUCUUGUCUUAUUUACUUCCGUGCAACAAACAAAUGCGAGUGUCCUUGAUGUACAACCACCAAAUUUUAGGCGAGGUGGAUUCCUUCCUAUAUUUUCCUCGCUCUCUUUUCUUGAA
This is a long non-coding RNA of Zea mays, 4838 nucleotides long. RefSeq lists it as uncharacterized. NCBI's taxonomy places the organism in Eukaryota, Viridiplantae, Streptophyta, Magnoliopsida, Poales, Poaceae. The transcript has 6 exons. The record is from RefSeq and is a predicted model, not a curated record.